GACGAACGCUGGCGGCGUGCUUAACACAUGCAAGUCGAACGGAAAGGCCCUGCUUUUGUGGGGUGCUCGAGUGGCGAACGGGUGAGUAACACGUGAGUAACCUGCCCUUGACUUUGGGGUAACUUCAGGAAACUGGGGCUAAUCCCGGAUAGGAGCUCCUGCUGCAUGGUGGGCGUUGGAACGUUUCGGCGGGUGGGGAUGGACUCGCGGGUUAUCAGCUUGUUGGUGGGGUAGUGGCUGACCAAGGCUUUGACGGGUCGGCGGCAUGUGAGGGUGACCGGCGACAUGGGGACUGAGAGACGGACCAGACUGCUACGGUAGGCAGCAGUGGGGAAUAUUGCACAAUGAGCGGAAGCCUGAUGCAGCAACGCCGCGUGUGGGAUGACGGCCUUCGGGUUGUAAACCGCUGUCGCCUGUGACGAAGCGGGAGUGACGGUAAUGGGUAAAGAAGCACCGGCUAACUACGUG
Molecule: ribosomal RNA, 468 nt
Filed under: uncultured bacterium
Lineage: Bacteria
Description: partial 16S ribosomal RNA
Rfam family: Bacterial small subunit ribosomal RNA
Source: RNAcentral